AAAAGCAGGGGACCAGAUUAAAGCCAGAUCUGCCCCGUUCACAGUAUGAAGUGAGGGACAUGCAGCUAGCUUAGAACAAAAAGAGUGCAUAGAUGAGAAAGCUCACUCCUCUCUAUAGCUCUCAUCACCCCCAAAUGUUUUAUUCUCUCUUGAGCCAGUAUCAGAGCUCAGCUGAGGAGAACAGUUGUUGUUGUUUUUUUUUGGGGGGGGGGAGGACAGGGCCUUCUCUACUGUUAGGCAGCCAUCUCAGGUGGUGUAUGAGGGACUGCAUCAUGCUCCAGGUGAUUCCCUCAGGGACUGGGGUCCCAGCAUCAGAAGAUACAAGCAUUCACCAAAGAGGACAAAUCCAAAUUAAACAAGGUCAAGCAAAGAGAACCAGUCUGUCCAAACAUCAUCCAGAGACAAUCUCAGGAAACAGAACAUAAAGGUAUCAGUACCUGUACUGUUUCCAGCAACUGGGAGACUCGGAAGACAGGUCCUGGCUGUCUUAGAACAGACAUGAGAUUGAUAAAAGUAUGAAGCUGGCAAACUCCAAAUGCUUCUUCCUUCAAACAGCAAAAUGGAUGUGCUAAAUGGAGAUAAAUGUUUAUUAGUUUCCAAAAACAAAGAUAAUAAAAAAGAAAUAAAAGCAAUACGAACAUACACCACCACGAGAAAAACGGAAACGUCCACCUGCAACCAGCAAAAAGAAAAGAAAAACAACACAGCAAAGUACAAAAGAAAUAUACUAUAUACACAAUAAAAAAUUUUCACCUACAAUUUUACAUUGUCGUCUCUUUU
This is a non-coding RNA of Podarcis muralis (Common wall lizard), 780 nucleotides long. NCBI's taxonomy places the organism in Eukaryota, Metazoa, Chordata, Lepidosauria, Squamata, Lacertidae. The record is from RefSeq and is a predicted model, not a curated record.